Molecule: long non-coding RNA, 1068 nt
Filed under: Coturnix japonica (Japanese quail)
Lineage: Eukaryota; Metazoa; Chordata; Aves; Galliformes; Phasianidae
Description: lncRNA (ENSCJPG00005009829.1)
Source: RNAcentral
AUGACAAGGGUAGAUGACAGUCUGGGCUUUGGGGGAGAACAAGGGUCCCCCUCCUCAGCACUUACCAUCCCCAUGGUCCACAGAGCCCACCUGCAGGACAGAGGUCUGAUGCUGCUGUCUUUACAUGGCAGAGAUGGGUCUGUGCUCUCCCUGCUCCUCCAGGCCCCACAGAGCCCCUCUGUGUCCUCAGUCACCUCAGUGCCAAUCUCAUCCCAGUCACCUCACCCCCAUCUCGUCCCCAGGCACCACAAUGUCCCAACAUGGCCCCAUUCACCUCAUCUCCCCACUAAUUCCACCCCAUUUUGCCCUCAUCACCUCAGUCCCUUCACUCCACCAGAGGUCCAUUAUCACCUCAGUACCCAUCUCAUCCCUGUCACCUCAGCUUUGUGUUUUCCCCACCACCUCAGUGCCCCCAUUUGUCCCACCUCAGCCCCACAAUACCACCAUUAUACCACCAUUAUCCCACCCCCAUCACCUCAGCCCCUCACUACCUCAGCUCCAUCUCAUCACCUCAGUUUCCCCACUCACAUCCUCGCAUUAUUCCCUCCUACCUCAGCUUCAUCCUGUCCCCAUCACCUCAGCCCCUCAUUACCACCAUUAUCCCACCCCCAUCUCCCCCAUCACCUCAGCCCCUCACUACCUCAGCUCCAUCUUAUCACCUCAGUAUACCCACAUUAUUCCCCCCUACCUCAGCUCCAUCCUGUCCCCAUCACCUCAGCCCCUCACCACCUCAGCCCCUCACUACCUCAGCUCCAUCUUGCCACCUCAGCAUCCCCACUCACUUCAUCCCCACAUUACCCCCCUACUUCAUCUCCAUCACCUCAGUCCCAUCACUUUUUCACCCUAAAUCACCUCACUCCCAUCUUAUCCCUAUCUUAUCCCCAUCACCCAUCGCUCCCUUUCCCCUCCCUCCUCACAGCACCUCCCGCCCUCCCUCCUCCCGCCAGAGCGCUAAAACGCCCGCCAACUCUUAGCCCCGCCCCCCCUUCGCUACCAUUGGCUAAUCCUCACAACACCCCCGCCUACUUUUUUGAUCGACAACCUCUAAGCCAAUCAACGGCUCCAUAG